RNAcentral lists this long non-coding RNA (19912 nucleotides) under Solanum tuberosum (potato). RNAcentral describes it as "long non-coding RNA (STUB_LNC010043)". The record is from RNAcentral. Lineage: Eukaryota; Viridiplantae; Streptophyta; Magnoliopsida; Solanales; Solanaceae.
CAAGCCAUACUCUGGCUGCCCUUCUCGGGUCUCUAAUUUCCGCAGCCCAUUUUCCCCGUGGUCUCUGCCUCACUCCUCUGUAAUUCUUCUUCUUCGCAACAAUGUUUAAUGUAUUGUAGUUGUUAACACCAGCCGCGGCUGAUGAGGUUGCAAAAUAAUUGCAGCCUAAACAACCAUUUAUUUUGCAGAAUUGACAACGCUCUGGUUCUAUCGCAACAUGAAACUGGGGCGGCUCAAUAGAAUAAGACAUACUCGUAGAAGGUAAUGAAAUAGUGGCACUGGGAGUGACAGGAAAAGUAUGGGUAGUACCUGUAAUCACAUUGGUUAAAGCAUUAACCAUGAUUGAAAACUCUUGUUCAUCAGUGAGUUUAGUUGACCUCUGCAUUGUUGAAAAUUUGAAAAAGCUGAGAAAAUUUUGGUCUUUGGUGUUCACAUGGUUUUUCUAAGUUAUUUGGUUUUAUAUAGUCGGGGAAUGAAGAUGAGUACGCUUAUCGUACACGCGUUUGAAUUUAGCUUAGCUGGCAUCUUCAAAUUACAUUAAUUGAUUUUGUGGUCACGUGGGAUUUUGGAUUUGUGGAUUUUUUGUAAUAGUUGAUGACAUGGCAGAAAAGUGAUUGUUCACAUGGUGCUUGUCACUUUCAUAGAUGAAUGACGUUGGUAUUAUGUUUGAUUAACUUAAAUGUUUUGAAAAAUCAAUUCAUUUUCCUCAAAUUUAAGGAAAAUGAUUUUUCUUCAAAAAUUAAGGAAAAUAUUUUUUAAAAUUUUACUUCAUUCUUUAAUUAUUUUUUUCUUAUCCUACUCCGUACAACCCGACCCACCCUAUCCAAAAAAAUAAUAAACAUUUUUAAAUUUUCAUUUUUUAAAUUUCAAAUAUAUAUUUACCCCUACCCCGAAACCCCCCACCCAAGCCACCCAUCAAAAUAUUCUCCAUUCACCAAUCCAAACAUUAAAAAAAUAUUCUCUACUCACCAAUCAAACAUGAGAAAAUAAGUUAUAUAUUCAUUUUUUCCCAAGAAAACAUUUUCAUUCAUACCAAACACACCGUAAUAUUUACACAAAGGAGAGGGGUAAUUUUGGAAUUUGCAGGAGACAUCGGGGAAGACUGGAAAAAUCAUCUUGUCCGGUCGCUUCCAAGGAAAGAGGACUGACUUUUCUACUUUCUUAGGCCUGUUUGGAUUGGCUUUUGGCUUAUGACUUGUAAGCCAAAAGCCAUAAGUUAGGAUUUCUAACUUGUGGCUUUUGGCUUAUUUUUGUUAUUUUGGCUUUAAAAUAAGUGCUUAUAAGCACAUUUUAACUUUACCCAAACACUUCAAAACUGCUUAAAAGCUAUUUUGGCUUAAAAGCACCUAAAAUAAGUCAAUCCAAACGGGCACUUACUCCUUUUUGUCAAAUUUUUUACCUUUUUUAAAUUCAAAUAAUUUGAAUUUUUUAUUUUGAUGGUCAAAUUUAUUUUUCCACUUAUUUUCUUGUAAAAUUUUCUAUAAAUGCCGUAAAUUUUUUACAUAUAUAAAAACUAAAUUACAAUAGACUCCCUCUGUCUAAUAAUACUUGUUCAUUAUUGACUUUGCACAUUUCUUAAGAAACUAUAAAUAGAAGGGUAAUUUUACUAUAUCACCUUUUGAAUAUAAUAAAUACAAUGUCUUAAAAAUGUAAUAGGAAAAUGAACAUAAUUAAUAAUAAGGGUAAAUUAGGAACUAAUUAGGAACUAAGUGUGAAAUUAUUCAUUCAUUUCAUAAAGUGUUAUGAACCAAGUCCAGCCCAAUGUGGAUACCAGAGUCACAAAAGUAGUUAUUGGGCUGGCAAGUGUUAUUGGGCCGAGAACAAACAAAAGGGCCUGGUUAAUUUGGGAUCCGAGUUGAGAAGCGAGUGUGGGAACGGUUCCAUCAAAAAGGGUAGUGGUAUGUGAUUUAGGGAUUAUGCAAAUUGUUGAGAAAAAUGUCUAGUCCUCUCAUCCCCUUUCUUUGAGUCUAUGUUUUUCAUCUCCCUUCUAGUUAUAUUCUACAAUAAGUUUCUUUGUUAGUUCCAUUUUUCAUUGUAACUUCGUGUUUAGUGAUUAUAAUAUUUGAAUGUUUCUAUUGUGAAAUUGGAGUUGUUACAUUGGUGCUUUCAUUCGAUCGUACUCCAAUAACAUUGAUGGUACUUGAUCAAUUUAGCGGUGGCAAUCCAACUGGGUGGAUUUUUAGGGCGGAUCUGUAUUUCACAUAUCUUGGUUUCUCGGAAAAGGAAUGGCUACCUCUUUCUCAUUUUUAUCUCGAUGUUGCUGCUUAUGAUUAGUUUCAAUGGUUAUAUCACAACAAUCAAUUUUUUGACUGUAAACAUUUCACCAAGAAAUUAGCCCUGCAUUUUGCCAAUGACUUCAACAGGAUCAAUGACACUGUCAACACCCUUGAUAUGAUGCGAAAGUUAGACGAGAACUUCUCAUAUAUACUCUGCAAACUCGACAAUGUCCAACGUGCAUUAUCCUCUUACUCCCAGUCGAUCAUACCAGAUCCGGUGCCUCUAGAUGUGGACUCAUCUUACGACAAUAACGGGGAUCGUGCCUUGUCUUUUGAUGAUUCAUCUCCCGUCUUUAAGGAUUUAGUGGCCUCUGAUUCAAACAUUGUUGAUGAGUGCAUUCAACCCUCACUUCAGGCUUGUGUUGUCCAAAAACAAACAUAGGUUCUUUUAUCUAACCUCCUAUUUGAUUUGAACGAUGAAACACUAGAGGAGGUGACUGGUGGAACAUUAAAGGAGCCACCGACAAAAUGUUCGCUGGAAUACCUGAUAGGGAUAUUGACAUGGAAGUUGUUGAUUCAAUACAGAAUGAUGUAGUCAAACUUGAAACACAUGUGUUCGAUGAAAGGUUUCACACAAUUUCCACAGUUAGGUGUGAUUCCAAUAACGUUGUCAAGUUUGACGAAAUGUUGUUUGCACUCCCUUGUAUAAUCUCAGACAAUAGUUCCUUUGCUUAUUUAAGUGAACUCAAUCCUUCUAAACUUUCAUUAUCCUUGUAUCGAUUUCCACCUGCUCAAUUUAAAUUAGAAUUUCCAUUUGAUCCUGGUUCUGGUAUGCUUACCACAUUUCUUGGAUCUGCAAAUUGUUAUCCUUUAAUGGUUGUGGAUGAUUUCAAGGAGAUCAUUAAAAUAUUUGUCAGUCAUUUCAAUUUCACGAUCAGUGAUCAAUAUACUUUAGAUCAAUUCCCUUAUGAUCCUGGUGCGAAUGUGUUCAUUGUAACCAGAGGACGCCUCCAAGUUCAUCAAUUGCACCCUGCGACAUUUUUAUUCAAUCUCUCACUCGUGAUAAACACAUUUUCAACUUUUUGGGUUAGUUUUUUACAUUCGUCCCACUGUCAAACCUGUUAAAUCUCUAAUUGAUAAUGAAUCAAUUAUUUCUAAUUGGGAUCCAGGAACUAGUUCAAGUUCUUGGCUAUCACAGUUUCUACAGACGGUGUGCAUAUGUUAAUAGUAUUUGAGCAAUUAAAAACAAUUGGAGACAUUUAUUUGCAAAGUUAUCAAAUUGGGAGCAGUUAGGUGGAGUUGAAAUGGGUAUUGAAACCUUUAACGCCACGUAUUUUGAAAGAUAUUUAUAGGUAACUGAGCUUAUUUGGGAUCAUCUUGAUUAUUUUUGUAUGGCGUAUAAGUGUAGCAUUAUAGUAAAAGAACUUCACUCUUGCGAUGACAAGGUGGAAAUCUCCGAAUUUAUUGUGUCAGCAAAAAUUUUGUGCCGAAUUUUAGAGUACCAAUUGAGGAGGCAAAACAAAUGGAUGGCGUUGAGUUCUCCUUCUUAUUUUGUGUGCAAUAUUCUCACGAAAGCUCUAUACAGCCUUUCGCCAAACGACAGUUUUGAAUGUUACAUGACUCUCCAACAUGUUUCUUAUUCCUUACCAAGUUUCGUUGUUUUUGUCACAUUUGCAAAUCAUCCAUUUGAUCCUGUAGUUACAUUGUGGGGUGAACAGGUUUGUGGUCUAAGGCGGAAAUAUCUAGGCACUGCUGCGUCUGAACAAUUCAUUAAUUUAUUGGAGCUUUUUUUAGCACUCAAUCUUGUUAGUUUGGAUGCGAGCACGGAUUAUCGCGACUACAAGCAACUAGAGAAAUAUGGCACAUUGUUUAGACCAAUGUUAAUUGCUACUAAUGCAAGUGCUUAUGCUCGUCGAUAUGAUUAUGCACGUCCGUGCAAAGUAUGUAGCAAGCAAAAAGUUUCUCUCUUGGCGGAUAUGGCACAUAUCAGUGGCUUGGUUGCUUCGUUGGUCAUGUGCUCUCCUUUCAAGUAUUCAACUUUUGUUACAUUUGCUAUACAAUUUAUGGGUGCUAAAGUUUACACUACAAUUGUGUAUGAAAAAAGCUUGUUUGCACUUGGGGGAUUUGGUAAUGAGCAGAUCGUAUUUUAUAUUGUUUUCAGGUUGGUGGUUGUUGCAGGAAGUAUAAAAGAUAACAUACUAUAUUCUGACAAUAUUGCACAAUUGGUCUUGGCUACAAUUGGUAGGGAGUGCGCUACUAACAUUGUUCUGGACUCGAACCUUGAGGACAAGGUUCUUAUUGAGGACGAGAGUAUUGUUAUGAGCCAAGUCUAGCCUAAUGUAGAUAUCAGAGUCACGAAAGUAGUGGUGUGGGAACAGUUCUAUCAAAAAGGGUAGUGGUAUGUGGUUUAGGGAUUAUGCAAAUUGUUGAGAAAAAUGUCUAGUCCUCUCAUCCUCUUUCUUUGAGUCUAUGCUGCUCAUCUCCCUUCUAGUUAUCUUCUACAAUAGUUUUCUUUGUUAGUUCCAUUUUUCAUUGUAACUUCGAGUUUAGUGAUUAUAAUAUUUGAAUGUUUCUAUUGUGAAAUUGGAGUUGUUACAUAAAGUGGACAACUAUUGUUGGACAUCCCAAAAUAGUAUAAUGAACAACUAUUGUUGGAUGGAGGAAAUAGUUAGUUUAUAAAAAAAUUUCUCUUUUUUUUUUCAUGUACACUUUUUUCUUUCUCUUAUUUUUACACUGAAGAAUGAAAGAAAAAUGAAAUAAGAAACUCAAAUUAUAAUAAUCAAAGAAGUCCCUUCGUCCAUCUUUUAACUAUUCACUAUAUUAAAAUAAAUAUUUAUUUUUAUUUAUAUUGAUUUUUAUUAUUCCCUCCGUCCUAAUUUGUGUUACACUUUUCGAAUUUCGAGAUUCAAACAAAUAUAUCUUUGACUGUAAAUUUUCAUAUAUCUUUUAAUUAUUUUGAAUUGUCAAUUAUUGUGACUUAUAGUACUUUUUACGUACUUUACAAGUAUAUAAAUUUCAUUUCAAAAAAACUAAAGAUUCCACGCGCGUAUUUCUAGUCAAACUUAAAUUGUUUGACUUUUGAAAAAUGUCAGAUAAAUUGGGACAUAAGGAGUAUUAAACACUAGAGGAUUUAUUCAGUACUCCUUCCGUCCCUAUUAGAUGCGCACUUUCUAUUUUACAUGAUAAUUAAGUAAUCAUUAAUAAAUUGAUCAACUUUACGGUUUUGUCCUUUGUUAAUUGUAAUUAGCCUCUUGAAAAAAGAAACUUAGAUCUUCAAAAUUUGUUUAAACUUCUAAAGAUCAUAUUAAUUGUAAGGGUAAAAUAGAAAAAAAAAUUAUAUCUUGGUUCAAUAAGUAAUCAAGUAAUAUGAGACAAAUAUUUUUAGUUAAAUGUCCAUCUAAUAUGGAGAAAAGAAAAUAGUAUUUAGAUGACUUAAUAAUUAAUAAAGAUGAUUAAUAAAAAGUAUUUUUAUUUAUUACUUUAUAUGAAAUGCACCAAAUCAAAUAUAAACAAAUAAAGAUGUGCAAAGAGACUAAUAUAACAGUAAUAGUGGUAUGAAUGAACACAACAGUAGUUGAAAAAUAUUUGAUUGGUAAAAGUAAUGAUUAUAUUCAAUUUAAAUUAUUUUUAAUUUUCAAUAAUUCUUAAUACUUAUAUAUUUUUAAAAUUUUAAAAUUUGUAAUCUUAACAUAUUAUAGUAUUUUAACUAUAAAAAAUUCUUAUUAAAGGUAGAAUAUAAAAAUAAUUGAUUAUUUUUAAAUUUAUGAAUGUGUCAACCUUUUCUAAAUAAGCUAAUAAAAAAAUAGUGUCAAACAAAUUGAAUAGAAAAGGACAAUGUUUAAAAAUUAAUGGCUUCACGAUCGAAAAAUUAUAACCUCUGUAGUCUCUAUCUAUCGAAAUCAGAUACUCUUUUGAAUUUAAUUUAUGUCAUCCUUUUACUUCUUACUCCGUUAAAAAUAAAAAGAUCUUUAAAAAUUAAAAGAUAGUAUAAUUCUAAUUUUUUUUAUUUUAUUUUUAAUAUCAAAUUUUGUCACAACAUCAAUAGUUUUAUAAUAUUUAAAUUAUAAGAUUUUUAUUCUUCUUUUAAAUUUUAUGUCCACUCAACUAAUAAAUUUUACUUAAAUUGAUAUAGGAAGUACUAUUAAAGUUGGAAGAAUAAAUAAAUAUCUAAGAAAAGACAAACCAUCACAACACAAGCCAGCCUGGUAAGGACGAACCCACAACCAAUCAAAUCCGUACAUGUUGUUGCGUCCACAAUACCGAGUUGACUAAACUAUGCUAUAAUCCUCUUAUCCAUUUUAUUGACUGACGGCUACUUUUUUUUUCGUUUUAAUUUAUUUAAUAAUUUUAAUUUGUUUUUUAAAAAAAAUGAUAUUUUUGUUAUAAUUUUAAAUUUUAACUCUUCAAAUGAUACAUUUAACGGUGAAAAUCAAUUAAAUCUCUGAACUUUUGUUUGAAAAUCAAGUUCCUUCCUUUAUGCAAAAUGUAUUUUAUACUAGUCAUAUAUAUAUUAUUCUUUAACUUUUAUAUUUGUAGAUUUUUAUUUAAGUUAUAAGUAUAAUAAUUCUUUUCUAGGUUUGAUGUAAAAUCUAGUGUUAUUUUAUAUGAUUGUUGUUUAAUACUAAGUACAUUCAUUUAGGAACUGUUUGGUAGUUGGUUAGAAACUUAGAAUUAUAAGGAUAUUAGUAAGGCAGAGAUUAGUUAUGAGUAAAAAUUAAUGUAAUAUUUUAUGCAUAUAUUAGUUAUGUAGAGAUAAGUUUUUUUUUAUUUCUCAUCCGAUGUCCGAUAUCCAUAUUAAAUCCCGAUUAAAUUCAAAUUAGCAUCGAAAAGCUCCAUAUUAAAAAAUAAAACGUUCCUUAACAAAAUGCGACUCCGUAUCUGAUAUAACAAUAUAAUAAAGUAACGUCUGAAUGGCUAGUGGAUAGCUUUGUUACUCCUCCUGUGUGAGCAUUGUUUGUCAAUACAACAAAUAUACUCCCAAUAUUUAAUUUUAAUUUAUGCACGUUCCUUUAUUAAUUAAAAAUGUAUAUAUAUUCGUUGAAGUUGGUAGGCAAGCUGCCAUCAAAAUCAAAGUCAAUUUCUAAAUGGUCACCCAAGUUUAGAAAAUUGCCUUGAAAUAUCAUUUAUAUUUCAUUUAGGACCAAAAUGUCACUUAACUAUUCCUAUUUUUCUCUAAAUAUACUUGACACUUCAAAAACCUCACUCUCUCCUAGUUGGCAUGACAUGUCAUUAAAGUCUUUUUUUAAUAAUAGACUAAUUUGAUUCAUUAAACCCAUAUAAUUAAAAUAAUAAUCAUGUUUUUUUAUUUUUUUUAAAAUAUUAGUUUAUUAAAAAUAAAUCUUCAUACUUCAGAAUUUUUAUUAUAAUUAAACUUUUUUAUUUUUUUAUGUUAUGAAAUAGAUUUUUAAAACGUACUAUAAUAUCAUCAAUUUUGAAUACUUAUAAACAUAUACAUUCAAAAAAAAUUGAUAUACAUAUCACUCAUGAAUGCUAACUUACAUCAAUUAAUCAUAAAUUUUACAAUGAAUCAAUAAUAUUAAAUGUCAAUUAACUAUUACAAUAAAAUUAAUUGUGUAUUUUAAAAUUCAUGCUUACAAUAUUUUUUUUCUUGAAAAAAAAUAGAAAGUGAAUAAUAUUAUUACUGUUUUUUAUCCAAAAAUAAAUAAAUACUAAACAUCUCAAAAAUCUCCAUUUAUUCUAGUUGAUAUGUCAUGUUAUUAAAUCGUCAUUUUAAAAAAUAAUAGACCUAUUUAAUUCAUCAAACUUAUGCUCUACAAGGCAAAUAUAGAAAUUACAUGAGAAUUUAUGAAGAUUAUAAAAACAAUAAAAAAACUAAUUCCUUUAUAUUUUUUACCAAACAAAAUACAAUGAAAUAAACUGUGUGUAAUUAUUACUUGGUAAUUUUUAAAAUACCUAAAUAAAUUAUUUGAAAAUUUUAAGAAAUUUUUUUAUAAAAGUAUUCAAAUAAAUUUGUAAGGUUGACAAAAAAGUUGUUAAGAAAGAGAAAAUUAUUAUUUAAUUUAACUUUUUAUUCUUAUUUUUGCUAUAUUAUAUUAUAUUAUAUUAUAUUUUAACUUAUCAUACAAUUAAACAUCAAUAUAUAUUCUCAUCUCAUCCCAAAUUCAUGAAAUACAAGUAAUAAUUAAUUGCAUUGCCUAUUUUAAUUCAAUAAUAUACAUAUUAUAUGAGAUUAAUAUACUGAUAAAUAAAAAUCAAAAUUUUAUUUUCUAAUAUAAAUAUUAUUCACUUUUUAUUUUCUUUUCAAAAGAAGAUCUUGUAUGCAUGGAUUCCAAAGUAUCCAAUUAAUUAUUUUUAAUAGUUAAUUGACCUAUAAUAUUAUUGAUCCAUUAUAUAAUAUAUGAUUAAUUGAUGUAAGUUGACAUUCAUGAGUGAUUUAUAUAUUAAUAUUUUUUGAAUAUAUGUGUUUAUAAGUAUUCAAAAUUGAUAACAUUGGAGUAGUAAGUUUUAAAAAACAAUUCUUCAUAUCAUACAAAAUUAAAAAAUUAAUUAUGAUAAAAGAUUCUUAAGCAUGAAAAUUUGUUCUUAAUAAAUAAUAUAUAUACUUUUUAGAAAAUAAUAAGAUCAUUAUUUUAGUUAAAUGAGUUUGAUGAAUUAAAUAAAUUCAUUCUUGAAAGAAAAAAAAAGGUUCAAUGACAUGACAUGCCAACUAGGAGAGAGUGAGGUUUUUAAAGUGUCAAGUAUAUUUGGAGGAAAGUAGGAAUAGUUAAGUGAUAUUUUAGUCCUAAAUGAAACAUAAAUGAUAUUUCAAAGCAAUUCCCUAAACUUGGGUGACCAUUUAGGGAAUUGACUCCCAAAAUCAUCAUGCCCUACAUGUAAUAUAUAUAUAAAUAUGUAUAUAUUCUCCGUACAAAAUUCCAGUACGGUACCCAACUACUCGCUCCAUCUACUUCUAAUUUUUAUAGUUUUCUUUUGGGAAAAUUGUAUGAAAUAACAAAUUAUUAAUUCAAAUUAAAUAUUAUAGUCAUAGUUUAUUUUAUUUGUAAUUUGCAACAAACAUUCCUAUUAUAAUAUGGGUAAAUAUGGAUAUUCCUAUUAUAACAUUCCUAUAUAUACUUUUAAUUUUAUUUUUUUAUAUUCUUUUUACAUUUUUUUUUGGGAUAGGGGUGAGGGGCUGGUAGGGGGUGGAGUUAAGUAAAAAAAAUAAAAAAAAAUAAAAAAAUUGUUUUUAAAACUUUUAAUAAUAUUUCUAUUAUUAUAUGGGUAAAUAUGGAUAUUCAUAUUAUUAAUUGGAUAACUCGUUUUUACCCAUUUAAAAUAUUAAUCGAAUCAAGUACUUUAUUCAUUUUUAUUUAAGAAAACUUUGGUCUUUGUUGUUCAGAUGAUUUUCUAAGUUACUAGCUUUUAUGAAGAUGAGUACACAUUUUGUACACGGGGUUUGAUUUUAGCUUAGGCUGGCAUUUUCAAAUUAAAUUACUGGCCACGUGGCAUUUGAAUUUGUGGAUGAUAUGGCAUGAAAAGUUGAUGACAUGGCAUGAAAGUGAUGGUAGUUUUUGCCUUUUUGGGUGGACGGUUACAAGAGGAAUAACGUAAUGUCUCAUAGGGGUAAUUUUGGAAUUUCCCAGAAACCAUUAGAGAAGACUGGGGACAGUUGGCAGUCAAAUAAUUCAUCCUGUCGCUUGGAAGACAAGAGGACCAAAACUAUAUGGAGUAUUAUAAUUUAUACCUAACUCUUUUGUUCUUUCAUAUUCCUUUUUAUCAAAUUUUAUAUUUACUCCUCCGUUUUUUAUUUGUUCACGAUAUUAAAAAAUACGGAAAAUAUAUUUGCCAGAAACCAUUAGAGAAGACUGGGGACAGUUGGCAGUCAAAUAGUUCAUCCUGUCGCUUGGAAGACAAGAGGACCAAAACUAUAUAUUAUAAUGGGAAAAAGGGUCUGAUAUACCUCUCAAUUUCGUCAUUUAGAGCUGAUAUAUCUCUCGUUAUGAAAAUGACUCAUAUAUACAAAUGGCUCACAUAUAUCCUUUUUUCUAAUGAAAAUGAAAAAAAUUAAUUUUACUUUAAUAUUUAUUAUUUUUUUUAUAAAAAAAAAACAUAAUCUCAUAUGCAUAUAUUUAAUCCUCCUCAAACAUAUUUAUUUUUUUUACUUUUUUUGUUUCAAUGACUAAUUUAGAUUUAUUAUUUUGAUGGUCAAACUUAUUUAUGUUUCACUAAUAUUCUUGUAAAACUUAUUAUAGAUGGCCAAAUUUGUUUCUUCAAAUACAAAAAUUAAAUUACAAUAUAGACAAAAAAAAAUAGUUUUAAAUUAUAAUAUAGCCACAAAAAAAUAGUUUUAAUUUUUUUUCUUUACACUAAGGAAUGAAAGAAAAAAAUAAAAUAAGAAUAAGAAACUCAAAUAAUUAUAAUCAAAGAAGUCAAAAAAUAAUUUAUGUAUGAAAAAGAUUAAAAUAUACCUUGAACUUUGCUAGAAGAAUCAUAUAUACCCCUAACUAAUUUUUAAGAAAAUUAAAAGUCAAAAAUAUAAAUUUAAAACUAAUUUUUUCACUUUCGUUAAAUGAAGGGUAUAUGUGAGCUCAUUUUGUAACGGUAGGGAUAUAUGUGAGCCGUUUGUAUAAUGAUAAGGGUAUAUAUGAGUCACUUUCAUAACAAGGGGCAUAUCAGCUCCAAAUGACAAAGUUGAGGGGUAUAUCAAGGCCCUUUUCCCUAUUAUAAUUUAUACCUAACUCUUUUGUUCUUUCAUAUUCCUUUUUAUCAAAUUUUACUGUCAUUCUCUAAUUAUUUGUCUACUCUUGAAUUGACACACCUAUUAAAAAAGUAAUUAAUGACAUAAUGAGUUUACCAUUUUACCCCUAUUAAUUAUGAAGUGGAUGAAAAGUUUUACAUUUUUCAAAGUAAUUAAUCAUUUAAUUGAGAGUAUAAUAGGUAAAAAAAAUUUGUCAUUUCUUGAUUUGUCAAAAUGGACAUGUAAUUGGAGACAACUAUAAAAAAAAAAGUGGACAAAUAAAUAGGGACAGAGGGAGUAUUAUUUAUUCCUCCGUUUUUUAUUUGUUCACGAUAUUAAAAAUACAUAAAAUAUAUUUGGCAGGACACUUUUUUGGCACUUAAUGACAGGAUCUUACUUUUUCAGGGUGAGGUCGUAAUUUCGUAGAAAUAGGAAGGGUGAUAGGGUAAAUUCAUUUUUUUUGUACCCAAAGUACCCUCUUAUGUAAAAUUACUAAAAGAAAAAUCUUAAACCACUAGAUGGUUUCAAGAAAUUACACUGUUCAAGAAUUUUUUCCUUUCCAAUAAAAAAACAUUGCCCAAGAAGCAUUUAUUGUAGUUUAUUCUUCCAAUAUUUUUUAUCUUUCAUUGUUGUUUAUUCUUCCAUUCUUCUUCCUUUUUAAUAUCACUUGUUUUUAAGGGGGAAAAUAAGGUAUAUUCAUUAAUUUUUAAAAACAUUCUUUAAAGUAAUAUUUAUUAAUUCAUUGAUUAAUUAAUAUCUCUACAAAAUAAUAAUAAUAAUAGUUUACAAUUUCAAUAAUUAUAUUUCACGUUGAGAAUAACACUACUAAUUUAUAUUAAAUUCAAAAUAGUUAAUGAAUCCAUUAUUUUCUAGUUAAAUUAUUUUUUAUAUAAUAUUUCCUUAACAGUAUUAAUUGUAGGGAUAAAGUGAGAAAAAUAUUUAACUAAUUUUAUUUUAAUUUAAUGAAUAAACAAGUAAUUUAAUAUAUAUAUAUAUAUAUAUAUAUAUAUAUAUAAAAAAACUAAUUUAAUUAACUUUNNNNNNNNNNNNNNNNNNNNNNNNNNNNNNNNNNNNNNNNNNNNNNNNNNNNNNNNNNNNNNNNNNNNNNNNNNNNNNNNNNNNNNNNNNNNNNNNNNNNNNNNNNNNNAAAAAGUUAUUAUCUUAUUUAGUUGAGUACGUUAAUUUAAUAUUGUUAGUACAAUUUUUUUUGUUCUGAUAUAAAAAAUAAUAUAUAUAUAUAUAUAUAUAUAAGAUGAUGUGAUACCUCUCUAAGGCCACCAUUCAUAUUUAUCUUUUUUCCUCCUUUAUUUUUGAUAUUUUUCUUUAUUUUCCCAUAUUUUCUUAAUUAAAGUAGAACAAUUGAAUGUAAUUAAGAAAGGAUAAUGCAUGAUUGGAAUUUGGAGUGACUUCUCAAUUCUUCAUUAAUAAAUAUAUUAAUUAAUAUAAUAACUUAUACACAAUAAAUUAGUGUGAUUGUUAAAAAAAUUCAAUUUCAUUUUUUUUAUUCAAAUUUUUGACAUUUUUCUUAUUUUUUUCUAUUUGUAUAAUUUAUUAGAAAAUCUAAAACUAUUUCUAGAGAUUCAUUUAAACAACAAAGGUUUAUAUCUAUUUUCAUGAAAUAGUUCCCACAUAACUAUAGACAUUAAGCACUAUUUCCUCUCUUAUUUAUUUUGUUUUUAUUCCUCCUUUAUUUGCUUUAUUAAAAGUCUUACAUUCACAACUCAUUUAUUUCAUAUUCACUCUUAAUAAUAUUAUUAACUCAUACUUUUCAUAUUCAUAACUCCUAAAUAUUUAAUUAAAAUUUAAAACACCUUAUGGUAUUCCAUCAUUUUAUCUUUAUAAAUAUGAUCAUGAUUCUAUUAUUUCAUAUUUGAAGUUGUAAUGUAUAUAUAUAUAUUUCAUGUGGUAUUAUAUUUAUGUUUUAAUCUUGAAGAAUAAAAAAUGUCAAUGAAGACCGCCUUGUGAAAUGAAUACCGAUAAGGGUUCGAAGAAUUAUAAAUUGAUGAAUCGAUUUAUUGAAUUCAUAUUAUUUUUUUAUAAUGGAAGUUGUAAAAAUGAUGCUUGUAUUGUAUUACUUCCUCCUUUAUUUAUUUAUUUAUUAUAUAUUUUCUUGAUAUCUUUUUAGCUUGAUUUUUACAUUAUUCAUGUAAGUGUUGUUAUUAAGAGCAUGUAUAAGGUAGUUAAAUUUAUGCUCAAGUUAUUUGACAUUUUUUUCGUAGAAAAUUUCUCUGUGCCCUUUUUCUUAUUAUAAAAUGACAAAUAUAACUUCUAAUAUUUUAAGUUUUUCUAAUUUAAUAUAUUUAUAAAUAAUAACUACUCAUAACUCAUACCCUUUAAUUUUAGUCUUGAUAAUUUCAUAACUUACGAGUAUAGUUUAAAUUAUUUUCCCUUUUUUGAUAUAAUUAUUUUUUAAUUUGACAUGAUGGGGAAUAUAAAUAUCAUAAAUAUCAUACAUAAACAAUCAUAUUAACAAUUAUUCAUAAUUUUUGUGUUUUAUAUUAUUAUAAUUAAAUAAUUUAUUGAAUUCAUAUUUAUUUGAUAAUGAAAAAUGUAAAAGUGAUGCUUGUAUUGUAUUACUUUCUCCUUUAUUUAUUUAUUUAUUGUAUGUUUUCUUGAAGGAAGACUUAGAAGAAUAUUUUUUGAAGCACCGUUAGGAAUUACUUUUACUAGAGAAUUUAUUUUUAUUUUGACUUGUAAUAUAUAGUAACUUAAGUACACAUAUUGACAACAUUACUCAUUUAGUCCUCUAUGAUCCUACUUUUUAUUGUAAAACAUAAUUAAUAUAACUAUCUUAUUUCAAUCAAAAAAAUUAAUGAGAAUAAGUUAUAUUUUAUUUUCUUCUCAAAGAAAAUUAAAGAAUGAAAUAAAUUAUUAUAUGACAUCAUUGCUUAUUCUUAUGCAUAUUUAACAAUUUGUUGUUGUCGCUGUUCUUUUCUUGCUUGAAAUGUAUUUAGAAGUUUUCUUUUCAUUUUUGAGAUAAGGGUUUGAAAAAUACCUCAACUUUUGGUCGAAUUUGCUGUUGCGAUACUAAACUUUCAUGAUGACCUAUUACCUCCCUAGAAUAUUUAAUACCGUAUUUUAAACAUAUAUAUUUGCCCACGUGGACAUAAAAAAUAAUGCAAAAUUAUAAAUAGUAAUGUGUCCACGUGAGCACAUAUAUACCUUUAAAAUACACUAUUAAAUAGUUCAGGGGGUAAAAAAAUACAGUAUGAAAUAGUCUAGGGAGGUAAUAGGUCCUUAUAAAAGUUUAGUAUAGCAACAUCAAAUCCGAUCAAAGUUGGGAUAUUUUUCAAACUCUUAUCCCUUCAUUUUUUAGUACUUUGUGAUAUAAUAAUGUAAAUUAUUAUUUUUUAUGUCUUAGCUACAUAAUUAUAAAAAAUCUAUGCCUCUAUAUUAUUUAAUUGUGGUCUUUGAUGAGAUUGUAACAUGACACGUCUUUUAUGCAAUCAAUUUAUUUAUUCUUUUUUCUUAUUUUUGUGAUUUUUACCCAUUAUAUUUUUCAGUCAUUUAUUUAUUUUUACAAAUAAAAUUAAUGCACAAUGAUUAAUGUACUUAAUGUCAUAAUAAUAUUAUAUAUUAAAGUUAUGAUAACUCAUGUAUCUUAUCUUCUUUAUAACUUCUAUUCUUAAAUGUUAUUGAUAACUCCUAUUUGUUUCAUUGUUAUAAUUUUUAAAACCUUUCUUUAAUAUAUAAAUAUUUCUUUAAUAUAUAAAUAGUAAACAAAUGUGAUGAAAAAGACGUAAUGUGGAAGUUUUAAAAAAAAAAUUAAUAUCAAAAUCGGUGUUAUCAUAAAUGAUCGAGUACUCAAAAGAUAGAUAAGAUUUAAACAAAAAAUGUAUUGUUUUCAAACUUAAUACAUAGAUUUGUUGUUUCAAAAUAUGACUUCUAAAUUGUUUGUUCUACCAUAUGCAUAUAAAGUUUAUUUAGCAUAUUGAAAAAACAUAUCAUGUUUCAUAUGAAGGCAAAAAUUUACAUUGUCUUUUAUGUCACUGGCUUGAAUAUAAAUAUUCCAUACUAUUUCAUUAUAAUUAAAAAUUAGCAAUGCAUAGAAUUAUUUUUUAUAAAUGAUAAAAUAAAUUAAUUUAUUAAUUUUCAUUACAACCGUGCGAAGCACGAAUAGUUUCACUAGUAUAUAUAUAUAUGAAAGAAAAAAAUGAAAAAUAUUUUUUUUAAAUACAAUUUUUAAAUUUUUUUGGAGGGGGGUAGGUGGUUGGGGUAAGCGUGGACUAAAGAAAAUAAAAAUUUAAUUAUUUUUUUCAAAAACAUUUUUUUUUUGUGGAAAGCGGGGGCAGGACAGUCAAGAGUUGAGCGGGGUAAAAAAAUAGAAAAAAUCUAACUUUAAACUGUUUUUCAAAAAUAAAAUUUUAAGUUGUUAAUUUUUUUUUGUUUGGGGGAGGGGCUAGUUUGGGUGUAGUAACAAAAUAAAUUAUUAUUUUUUUUAAAAAGAAAAUUUUAAAUUUUAAAGUUUUUUGAAUGGGGAGGGUCGGAGUACGGAGUGAGGUAAGAAAAAAAUUAUUAUUUGAGAAAAAUAAGUUUAUUUGAGAAAUAUUUAAGUAAACCAAAUAUAAGAAAAUUAAGAAACAUUUUCUAGAAUGAGAGAUAAAAUGAAUUAAGUAAAAAAGAAAGUAAAGAUAUUGAAAGAGUAAAGUAAAUGAAAUAAAAUGAGUAAAGUAAAUAAAAAAGAAAAGUCAGGUGAUUUUCUUUUUUUUUUGGAGGGAAAUUUAGAUGGUUUUCGAGUCAAGAGCCAAAAGACUAUUUCUAUCAUUUCACAGUGUUAUGCCAGAUCGUGCCAAAAAAAUGUUGUGCCAUUUAGUUUUACUCUUUAUAUAUUCGUUGAAGUUGGUAGGGAAGCUGCCAUCAAAAUCAUUAGGCCCCCACUUGUAAUAUUCUUUCUCCGUACAAAAUUCUAUUACGGUGCUUAACUAUUGGGAACAGAAAUGUAAGUAGUAAAAUUUGAUACUACCAAAACUAAAUUUCUUUAUUUUUGUCCUUUACAAUUCUUGUGUUUAAUGGAUAGUGAUCAGAAGCUAUUAGCAAAAUCAGAAGAUUCUCCAUUGAAACUCAUCGUAUUCAAGAAGUCUUGUAUUUCAUUGUUCGAAAUCAUCAAUUGAUCCCAGAAUUGUUCUUCUGUAUUAGUUCCCUGUUGUUGUUGCACUUGCAGGGGUGAAGAAGAAGUAUUAUUAUUAUUAUUAUUAUUGUGUUGUUGAAUUGAUGUGUAAUCUGCAAAUGAGAAAUUAAGUUUAGCUCUUGGACCUCUAAAUUCAAUAGCUGCUCUGUCAUAAGCUCUAGCUACGUCCUCAGCUGUAGUAAAUGUUCCAAGCCAUACUCUGGCUGCUCUUCUUGGAUCUCUAAUUUCUGCAGCCCAUUUUCCCCAUGGUCUCUGUCUUACUCCUCUGUAAUUCUUCUUCUUCUUCGCAACAUUAAUCUUUAAUGUCUUGUUGUUGUUGCCAGUUGAUGAGGUUGCAAAAUAGUUGCAGCCUAAACAACCAUUUAUUUUGCAGAAUUGACAAGCCUCUGUUUCUUCCGGUAAGUGAAACAAAGGCGGCUCAAUUGUUCAAAACAUAUACCUAUUAAACACAAAGUGCUUACGUGGCAAAAUAAGUGUACCUCACUGCUGUUGAGAGCGUGAAUAGGUUCCUAUUUCAUUUUUAAAUUUAAAAAAAAAGAUAAUUUGUAACUUUUUUCACGCCUGCAUUCAUUAACUAAAUAACUAUAAAAAAAUAAACUCUUAAUCAAGAAAAAGAAACAACCCCACCCCACACCCCUUUACCUGUCAUCUUCUUCACUCCAUCUCAAAAAUCUCUUGCACUUCAUUUUAGUUCUAUUUUUUUUUUCCAGUUUUUGUUAAAAUGAAAAACUGAAUCUGCUAAACUUAAUUUGCUAGUUAAAUUAUUGGUUGUGUCAUCCCCAAUUAAACGUUUCAAUGUCAAUAUUAUUUAAAAUAAAUUCCGGCCAAAUUGCUUUGCCAUGAUCCCGCCACACCCUUUACCAUACACUCCUUGAUUAUUAUUUUUACUAGCGGCAUUCCACAAUUACUAAUAUUAUCAAAACUAAAAUGAAAUGCGUCAAAAAUAAUUCCGGCAAAAUUUCAUUUUUUCCGGCAAGACUAAUACGAAUCUGAAAUUAUUUUCUUUCAAAUUGUUAAAAAAUUCAAAUCCUAAAGAACUCACAACAUAGAAGAAGAAGAAGAAGAAAAAUAUGAGAAUCUGAAUUGAUGAUUGAAAAAAAAAGUGAGAUUGAGAGAAAUGACAACUACAAUGUUGAUGGAUAUCGAAAUAAACGAGAGAGGCAGGUGUAUGAGUGGAAAAAAGAAUAUGUUGAGACAAAAAAAGGUGGAACGAAGAUGAUUAUCGAACAUAAUUUUAUUAUUAUUUUUCUUUUUAAUUUAUUUUUUACUUAUUAUUAUGGACGAAAUGCCACAUGUCUUUUUCUUAUUUGUUACUAUGUCACAUCAUUCGCAAGUGUAUGACACACUCUCUAUUUUUAGUUGAUUGUCUCACAGUGUUCAAUAUGUAUAAUUUUUUUAACUAACAAAGGUGUUCAAUUGAAACAAGCGCAAGAUAAAGUGUCUAAGUGAAUUAUGCAGACAACUUUAAAAGGACACGUAUAACUUAAGCCUAAAUUUUAACUAAAAGAUAUUCCUCUGUCACAAAGAAUGAUUUGAACCGGAAUAGUAUGAACAUAUGUGCUACCAUAUUUGUUGUUUUUUACCCAACUCUAAAGAACAGGCUAAAUAAUUAACAGUAUAUUGGUAGUAGGAUAUAUAUACAUUUCAAGCCCUGUUUUGGAGAAUUACUUUGGACAUAUAAUAUAAUAUGUCCCGUCUAAUUAAAAAAUAAAUGACUUGUAAUGUGAAAUUUCAAGUCAAUACUAUUAAAAUAAAUGAAAUUGAAAAUAUAACAUAAGUCCUAAAUUCAAAACAAAAAAUUUAAUAUAAUAUUCUUAUGUCAAAUAUCAAUAUAACAUACAUAAAUAUGAUUUCAAAGAAAAGAAAAAUAUAAGUCUAUAACCUUAUUAAACAAUGACUUCUAUCUUAAUUGAAAAAUUAGAAUACUAACAAAAAUAUUUUAAUGAAAAAUAUAAACAUAGAAUUACAACAAUAGAUAAUACGAAAAAAUGGCAUGAAAUCACAUAAAGUAAAGGUUGAGAAUGCGAAAGAAAUUAAAUGUAAAUAAUAUAAAAAAAAAUAUUUAAAAAAAUAUUAGAAUAAUAAAAAAGAAUUUAAAAUAAAUAAAUAAAUAAAUAAAUAAAAUAGUAGUAAUAGAAAAAAGAAAUGAAAAACUAAACAAUUUAUAAUUACACCACAUAAUUAUCAGUAAUUCACAAUUUUCAUGAGAAUUAGAAAAUAUAACUACCCCUAUCAAUUACAAUUAAUUACCUGCUAAUUAAAUAAUUACAUAACCAAUUAAAUGUGUUAUAUAUUAUAAUUAGGUUCAAUUACACUAAAACAAAUUAUCAUAGUAACUUUCCAAAUAGACAUUUAAUAUUUUCUUCACUAGAAAGAAAGGAGUAUUAAAGUUGAAAAGUUAAAUACUACUAUGUGGGUCUAAGAAAAGACAAAACAAUACACAACAUAAGCCAGCCUGGUAAUCAAUCCGUACACGUCGUAGCGUCAACAAUACCGAGUUGACUUAACUUUGCUCUAUCCAUUUUAUUGACUCACAGCUACCCUCUCUGUUUUAAUAUUGUUUAAAAUAAUAUAUUUAUUAUUAAUUUUUCAUAUGAAGUGAACAUCAAAUGACAAAUUAAAAUGAAAGAAAGUAUCAUUAUUUUCAUUGGUGUUAAAUGAUUGAAUUGUGCUGAAUUUAUAAGUGUUAAAAAGGUCUUUGAAUAGAUUAGAUGCAUCAUAUUUCUAUGAGUAAACUUUAUCACUCUUACAUAUCUCUUCUGUUACUUGAAAAUACAUAAAUUCAUUCCUAACUAAUUCUUGCAUUAUUAACAUUUGAGUAACUCUAUCUAGCUUUUAAAAUAGUGCAUGUGAUAUUCUAUGCCUUGUAAAAAUUUCAAGUAAUUCAAGUCAUCCAAAUCCUAAAUACUAGUGAAAUUGAUAAAUUAGUAUAAUAAAGUAAGCUGAAUUGCAGAGGAUAAGCUUGUUACUUCUCCAGGUGUGAACAUUGUUUGUCAAUACAUCAAAUUAUAUACAUACUCCCAAUAUUUAACUUUUCCUUUAUUAAUUAAAAAUGUAUAUAUAUUCGUUGAAGUUGGUAGGCAUGCUGCCAUCAGGUGAUUUCUCCCUCAGGUUUCUGAGGCCCCACAUGUAAUAUUGUGUGCCUAAGUAUUUAUGAUACAAUCUUGAUUGAAAAACAAAUUCCAAUUUAAUUUGUAACUAUCAAAACUAAAUGGGCAUGCGUCCUACUAAAAUAGGAAAUGAUCAGAAGCUAUGAGCAAUAUAGCCAUUAGCAGAAUCAGAUGAUUCUCUAUUAAAGUAAUGUUGAAUUUCAUUGUCUGAAUUCAUCAAUUGAUCCCAGAACUCUUCUUCUUCUGUGUUCAUUCCCUGUUGUAACUGCGAGGGCGGUGAUUGUUGUUGUUGCACUUGCAGGGGUGUAUUGUUGUGUUGUUGAAUUGAUGUGUAAUCUGAAAAUGAGAAAUUAAGCUUAGCUCUUGGACCUCUAAAUUCAAUAGCUGCUCUGUCAUAAGCUCUAGCUGCAUCUCUGCUGUAGUAAAUGUUCCAAGCCAUACUCUGGCUGCCCUUCUCGGGUCUCUAAUUUCCGCAGCCCAUUUUCCCCAUGGUCUUUGUCUCACUCCUCUGUAAUUCUUCUUUUUCUUCUUCGCAACAAUCUUUAAAGCCUUGUUGUUGUUGCCAGUUGAUGAGGUUGCAAAAAUAGUUGCAGCCUAAACAACCAUUUAUUUUGCAGAAUUGACAAGCCUCUGUUUCUUCCGGUAAGUGAAACAAGGGCGGCUCAAUAGAAUAAGACAUACUCGUACAAGGUAAUGAAAUUGUGGCACUGACGGAAGUAUGAGUAGUACCUGUAAUCACAUUCGUUAAAGCAGCAACGAUGAUUGAAAACUCUUGUUCAUC